This 79-nucleotide microRNA precursor is filed under the name Echinops telfairi (small Madagascar hedgehog). The record is from RNAcentral. Lineage: Eukaryota; Metazoa; Chordata; Mammalia; Afrosoricida; Tenrecidae.
UGGUACGCGGGGAGAGGUUACCCGAGCAACUUUGCAUCUGGACGACGAAUGUUGCUCGGUGAACCCCAUCUCGGUAUCA